Molecule: long non-coding RNA, 4192 nt
Organism: Haemorhous mexicanus (house finch)
Lineage: Eukaryota; Metazoa; Chordata; Aves; Passeriformes; Fringillidae
Exons: 4
Source: RefSeq, a predicted model, not a curated record
GAGAGACGCGAAGGGGAAUUCUGCCUGGCAACUAAGGACGUCAUCGAGAGCCGGCUUGUUAUUGGGUAGAACACAGGCUGCCUUCACCACGAGGCUGAAAUGACCCUCUGGGGGCACGGCAGAAAAUGAUACAAGUUACGGACAAGGAGCUGCGGCAGCCCCAAGGCGGGAAGAGGCGAGCUGGAGGAGAAGCCUCCACUUCCCGCCUAUGAGCCCGCGGAACGCGAUGUUCCCUGCGGAAGGGCCCCAGCUCCGUGCGCCUUGCUGCGCAUGCGCGCGGCGGGAGCGCGGCCUGCUCCGGCGUCCGCGUCCCUCGCGCCGGGCCCGGCAUUUGGGUCAUGCUUCCCUCAGGGCUCGGGCGGCAGCGGUGCCCCGGGUCCGGCAUUUGGGUCACGCUUCCCUCAGGGCUCGGGCGGCAGCGGUGCCCCGGGUCUGGCAUUUGGGUCACGCUUCCCUCAGGGCUCGGGCGGCAGCGGUGCCCCGGGUCCGGCAUUUGGGUCACGCUUCCCUCAGGGCUCGGGCGGCAGCGGAGCUGCCCCGGGCCCGAGCUUUGCUGCGGCGCCUUCAAAGUCGGCCACGAAGCCGGGUUAGCGGGAGCAGGCAGCUUGUGAGGCCGCUGUCACCCUGUGGGAGUGGAGCUGAGCUCCUUCCCUGGCCGAGCCGGCAGGUGAUCCGCUCUCCUUUGCUCCAGUGCACACUCUUCCUUGUGUUUGGCAGUGUUAAUGUACUCACAGAGAAAGUUCUCUUGCUUGCUGAUUUAUCUUGUGCGCCCCCUCUCCCCUCUUUGUUAAUUUUUAUAGCCUUUCGCUCUGCAGCGGGUUAAUUUCUUUAUCUGUUUUUUCAUAUUUUAGAAAUAUUUCUACAAAGGUCUCCCUUGGCUACCAUUAAACUAUUUCUAUGCCCUCUUGUCAUGGUCUGAGGCUGGCGAAAUGCCAAACCACGACACCUAUUAUAUUCUUUGAACUGAUUUUCUGUCUUCCUUAAGCAGUCCAAGUGAGUGGAUUUGGGUGGGAGCCGAAAAAGAGGACCACGAAGCUUCCUGGAUUUUCCCCUCCUUGCAACCUCUUUGAAAGAUUUGUGCCACCAGAAAGCAUGCAAUAGCAAUCCAUACCUUUUUUAGGGUAUAAACUUUGCUUGGCUGCACUUUGGAUUGUUUAUUCUGGAACACAGAAUGUGCUUACUGUGGGAAGCAGUGAGUAAGCUUGGGAAAAACAGAAUAAUCAAAAAUGCACCUGUAUUUGGGUUAUAACAAAUAACCCAAAUAUAUGUUAUUGGACAUUCCAAGGGUCGAAAGUAAAGUUUUCCAAGUUUUAUUUUAAUGUCAACAUUUUAUUUUAAUGUGACUGCUUUGAAGGCAGCUCUUUUACCUUUCCCAGGAUAAAUUGCCUGUGACAUGUCUAGCCAGGCAAGCAAAUAACUUAAAAUCAAUGAGAACCUAUAGCUGAAUCAAAGGAGUCUUCUAUAUGCACAUAUAAUACCAUUGGGUAGAACAUUUUUAUCUAUGUGAUAAAAACAUGAAGGGGACUUCGCUAGCCUGAGUGGGCAGACUUCAAUUGUAGAUGAUAACUUGUAGUAAAAUAUGAUGAUGAAAUCACUACCAUUCCUUUAAAAGGGAAAAGAAAAAUUAAUUCCAGGUCUCAUUAUUACUUUCCCUGUUUUCCAUCCCCAAAUCUUCCAUCACAUAAAACAGAUGUGGGCUAUUGAUGUUCUCCAUCACUUAUGUCUAAAUAGCUUACCUCGUCUUUCAUCUUUUCUGCCUUCCACUCCAUCCUCUGAGAAAUUCACUUGUCUCUGAGUCGUUCCAUUUUUGCAAUCCUUGCAUUAUCCUUUGUUGUCUAUUUGUAACAUUGCCCCAGUUUACUGACAGGUCUCCAAGCAAAGGCUUUGAGGCUCCAUGAUGAUGUACUUGAGGUUUAUUGAUUGUGGCUGCAGUGUGGUGGGGUCCAUCAGCAUUUACUGAGGUCACAAACUUCCCCGGCAUUUUACACUGGGAUCGCUGCAACGGAAGGCAUAGAUUAUGUUGGAAGAGAGAUUUUCAUUGCUACUGAAAAUUUUUGCUUGGAAUCUGGAUACCUCCUUCCUGCUUACUGCUUUCAUAUUAGCACCCUGUUCCUUUAUCCCAUUCCCUCAUUUCCUACCUCUGCAUGCAUGUGUGCACAGAACUCCUAAUGGAUUUGUAUCCUCUCUAUUUCUUCUGUCCUUUUACCCCACAAUAUUUUUUUUUUUACCCAAUCUAUCUUUUCCUCUGCCUGACUUCUCACAGGUAUAAGUUGUUCCCCUACCAGCAUUGACAGUGAUAGAUUAAGGAUGGAAUUACUUAUCUGCACCUUGUAAUCCAAACAGAAUCGCAGUCUGCUGUUAGCAGUCCACAGGGGUUGCUGCUGAAUAAAUUGGAAUGCUGGUAGCUGUGCUCGCUGAAGCUUCUCUCAUCUUGAAUACGUGAGAAAGAGGGGAAGAGGAACCCUGUGGAUUUAAACAAAAGAAAAACCCCAACAACAGAGGGUGAUGCUCUUAUCCUAGAGAAGUGUUUGUUAGGUUCAAUCCUGUAUUUAGCAGCUAAGGAGGAAUAGAACACUCUUUUCAUUCACACAUUUAAUUUUCCCCUCAAAUGAAACAAGAUUAUUUUGAGUGGGAAGUGCCCCUUUCAUAUGAGCAGGUAAAGUUUCCCUGACAGCCUGAAAUUUGAAAAUGAGACUCUGAAAUUUGAAGUCACAUUCCCUUAGGUAGUGGUCACAAAGCAGCAGUCAAACUGCACUUGUGUCUGUGUGCCGUGUGUGGCUCGCAUUUCAUCUGUCUGCAGAAGGCAGCGAUGGUGGAACUGCAUCUCCAGCAGGAGUGGCAGGGAAUUUCAGACACCAGGGAAGAAAAUUAUGGAGCACUUACUGUUCAGGGCAAAGAAGAUGUAAGAUGGCAAUUAAGAAAUUUAAGCAACUUUUACAUCGGCUCUCGAAUUCCCUGGACCUUCAUUCUCUCGGCUGCAGUAGCGGGGUGCCGGAUGCCUUUUCGGUGUGUCUGCGUGCUCCUGUAAUGAGGCUUUAUUGCCACGCGAGGUUCAUCAUCUUCUGACCACACUGGUGGAAUGUGGAGGGGGUUUGACACUGCACAGAAGAUGAUCAGGUCUUACAGGAACUGGCUGCAAGUUUUCAGCUCUUUGAAACUUCUUCAUCGGCCUCAAGUUCAAACCGUGAUUGGACAGGAGGUAAACUGCUGAAACUAUUUCAGAGCUGAAUGGUCUUGCAAGAAUGAGAAAAGGCUUAAAGAAGAAUCAAAAGAAAGGAGAGAAAAUUUGUAAUUUGAGACCCCAGCUAGAAGAAGGCUGAUUAGGUUGGGAUCAAUGUUUGCGAUGAUACAUUUGAGAAAGUUGUCUCUAUGGUUUUAAAAAUCCCUAAAGAUCAGUUCCUGCAACUGCUGUGGGGUCCUGAGGGACAGCAUUCAAGGGCCAUCAGGAGAAUUAACAUUAACCCCUAUGAAAGGCUGCUUGUUUACAAUCGUUUAGUGAUUUAGGAAGCUGAUGUUUGAAACAAGUGGUAGAGCUGAUGCCUGACAAUUCAGCUGCAGGGAAACAAGAUUAGUUUGCAACAGAAAUACAGCAUCUCAAUACUACAUAUGAAUGGGAUGUACAUGUGUGACUUUACAUUUUAUUUACAUAUGCAGUUACAUUCUUAAAUUGGAUUUAUGGGCCAAAGGAAAAGCUGGGAAGUAUCUGUCCUCCUUGUCCUUUGGUCACAGUCUCAGCUGUCAACUUUUGUUUGUAUUUCAAGCCUUUCUGGUGUAAAAACUCGCUGUUGAAGUCAAUUUAAGAAAUGGAAAAUAAACUGGUAGUGUUGUAUGGUAGGGAUAUGGUUAGAAGAAUCAAAAGAAAAAAGCACAUCAUUCUCUUCUCAUUAUCAAGUGUAAACACAGAGUAUUUCCAUUUCAAAGUUAGGAAACAGUGAAAGCUGCAGAAGAAAAAGAUAAGGAGAAGAGGCAUUUCAUAUUGCUUUAUUACAAUGUACUGGGUUUCAGGCACUGUUUCAAAGAAAAAGUUAUGGCAGUCUUAAAUAUGGAGGUUAAUGCUGUAUUUUCUUGUACAAGCCAAAAUCAUUAUGCAAUAUUGUUCUUUUAUUCCAAUUAAAACUAGUUUUGAUUUGCAGCCUUCUGGAAUAGCUGAAAAUUUAUCUGAUAUGAGGCUUGGAUCAACUGUAAGCUUACU